RNAcentral lists this ribosomal RNA (504 nucleotides) under Triticum aestivum (bread wheat). Its description in RNAcentral is "partial small subunit ribosomal RNA". The record is from RNAcentral. Lineage: Eukaryota; Viridiplantae; Streptophyta; Magnoliopsida; Poales; Poaceae.
AUGGCCUUGUUGGAGAGAAGGAAGGAGCUCGCCGUCAUCACCCCAUUAUCUAUCGUAGGGUUCAGGGUGAGGACGGUGGUGGACGGCGGUGGAUGGGUGCUCCCUGACUCAGCAUGGUUCCAUGGUGGGGACUUCCUGGGUGCCUUCCUCCUCGACGGCGACGACGACGACGACGAGGCCGCGGGCACGCGCUUCAGCAUGUCAAAAUUCAGGGCCUGCGCCUUCUCGUCCGCUCGCGGGGACCGCUGGACCUCCGGCGCCGGACGCGGCAGCACUACAGACUGCGGAUUGGGUACCGUCUACUUCGCAGGGAGCGACGACGGGUUCGCCUACUGGACGGCCGGAUACAACAUUGUUCUUACUCUGGACAAGGACGCCGCCGAGUUCACCUCUUCCGUCUUGCACGACGACGGGGAGUACGCCGCGCUCCAGAACAAGCACCACGUCACGGAGUACGCCUACCAUCAGCCGUGGCCACCUACGAUCGAAGCUUGUUUAUCCUAG